UACGUAGGGUGCAAGCGUUGUCCGGAAUUAUUGGGCGUAAAGAGCCCGUAGGCGGUCUGUCGCGUCGGAUGUGAAAAUCCAGGGCUCAACCCUGGACCUGCAUUCGAUACGGGCAGACUAGAGUUCGGCAGGGGAGACUGGAAUUCCUGGUGUAGCGGUGAAAUGCGCAGAUAUCAGGAGGAACACCGGUGGCGAAGGCGGGUCUCUGGGCCGAUACUGACGCUGAGGAGCGAAAGCGUGGGGAGCGAACAGG
This 253-nucleotide ribosomal RNA is filed under the name uncultured bacterium. RNAcentral describes it as "partial 16S ribosomal RNA". It matches the Rfam family "Bacterial small subunit ribosomal RNA", at positions 524 to 776 of the family's 1533-position model. The record is from RNAcentral.